This 761-nucleotide unclassified non-coding RNA is filed under the name Hevea brasiliensis (rubber tree). The record is from RNAcentral. Lineage: Eukaryota; Viridiplantae; Streptophyta; Magnoliopsida; Malpighiales; Euphorbiaceae.
CUCCACUCUUGUAUCAUUAAUCAGCAAGACCGAGCAAUCCUCAUAAGGACAGUAGAAUUUCUGGGAACAGUCAAUCACAGACUCGCAUAAAGCAAUACCCCACCUAUCAAUCUCAUGGGUUGUACGCACUUCUACUAUAUCGCGGCAGUAGUCAGGCUCUAAAAUUCCUUCACAGGCAGAUACAGGGCAUGAAAUACUUGUAAUAUUUUCAUCAAGCUUCGAAGUUAUAUAUCUAACUGUGCAUUUAGUACAGUAGAAGUGCGUACAACCCAUGAGAUUGAAGGAGUCAUUUAAGGCUCUUGGUUCCACACAUAUUUCACAAACGAAAGAUGGAAAAUCAGUCUGGGAGUCAGGAGACGGCAAUUCCUCUGAGAUUUUCAUGUUAUCUUUAUUUUCAUCUUCUUCAGCCUCACCGUGACAUGACUUGGGUGAUAAGAAUACAUCUUCAUCAUUGUUGUGGUGCUUUUGCACAAUAUAUUUGGAAAUCACCUUGGACUCAACAACCCCUUUUGGCUUCUUAUGUCUUCUUCGGAAUUUGUAUAACAUGGUACCCACCUUGUUUCCCAUCUUCUAUCUUACUUAUGCUUGAUACCUGAGAACUUCUGCUGCACUAACCUUACAAGAUUCACCUUGCUCUUGUUUGUCAGUUUGUGUUCGCUUAUUGAGCGGAAGAGAACAAACCAUUGAAUCUAAUAAUAAGUGAGCAGAAGAAAUAACAGAAUUAAUUCAAAAGCUCUGUUUAGUUAUUAAGAAGUUUUGGG